UGACCCAUUUGACCUCAAAUCAGGUAGGACUACCCGCUGAACUUAAGCAUAUCAAUAAGCGGAGGA
RNAcentral lists this ribosomal RNA (66 nucleotides) under Inocybe aff. praetervisa BB-2010. RNAcentral's name for it is "partial 28S ribosomal RNA". The stretch from base 10 to 66 matches the Rfam family "Eukaryotic large subunit ribosomal RNA", at positions 1 to 57 of the family's 3401-position model. Lineage: Eukaryota; Fungi; Basidiomycota; Agaricomycetes; Agaricales; Inocybaceae. The record is from RNAcentral.